UACGGAGGGUGCAAGCGUUAUCCGGAUUCACUGGGUUUAAAGGGUGCGUAGGUGGGUUGGUAAGUCAGUGUGAAAUCUCCGUGCUUAACAUGGAAACUGCCAUUGAUACUACUGAUCUUGAAUUUUCAGGAGGUAAGCGGAAUAUGUCAUGUAGCGGUGAAAUGCUUAGAUAUGACGUAGAACACCAAUUGCGAAGGCAGCUUACUACAGGAAUAUUGACACUGAUGCGCGAAAGCGUGGGGAUCAAACAGG
This 252-nucleotide ribosomal RNA is filed under the name uncultured bacterium. Its description in RNAcentral is "partial 16S ribosomal RNA". It matches the Rfam family "Bacterial small subunit ribosomal RNA", at positions 524 to 776 of the family's 1533-position model. The record is from RNAcentral.